GAUGAACGCUGGCGGCGUGCCUAAUACAUGCAAGUCGAGCGAACAGACGAGGAGCUUGCUCCUCUGACGUUAGCGGCGGACGGGUGAGUAACACGUGGAUAACCUACCUAUAAGACUGGGAUAACUUCGGGAAACCGUAGCUAAUACCGGAUAAUAUAUUGAACCGCAUGGUUCAAUAGUGAAAGACGGUUUUGCUGUCACUUAUAGAUGGAUCCUCGCCGCAUUAGCUAGUUGGUAAGGUAACGGCUUACCAAGGCGACGAUGCGUAGCCGACCUGAGAGGAUGGUCGGCCAACCUGGAACUGAGACCGGGCCCAACCGCAUACGGGAGGCGCCCGUAGGGAUUCUUGCGCAAUGGGCGAAGGCCUGAGGGAGAAACGCCGAGUGAGUGAUGAAGGUCUUCGGAUCGUAAAAUUCUGUUAUUAGGAAAGAAAAAAUGUGUAAGUAACUAUGCACGUCUUGACGGUACCUACUCAGAAAGCCACGGCUAACUACGUG
RNAcentral lists this ribosomal RNA (497 nucleotides) under uncultured bacterium. RNAcentral describes it as "partial 16S ribosomal RNA". It matches the Rfam family "Bacterial small subunit ribosomal RNA", at positions 28 to 507 of the family's 1533-position model. The record is from RNAcentral.